GCAUUGGUGGUUCAGUGGUAAAAUUCUCACCUGCCAUGCGGGAGACCCGGGUCCGAUUCCCGGCCAAUGCA
Molecule: transfer RNA, 71 nt
Filed under: Danionella translucida
Lineage: Eukaryota; Metazoa; Chordata; Actinopteri; Cypriniformes; Danionidae
Also listed under: 1 other name
Rfam family: tRNA
About the family: Transfer RNA (tRNA) molecules are approximately 80 nucleotides in length. Their secondary structure includes four short double-helical elements and three loops (D, anti-codon, and T loops).
Source: Rfam by way of RNAcentral